Molecule: ribosomal RNA, 431 nt
Filed under: uncultured bacterium
Lineage: Bacteria
Description: partial 16S ribosomal RNA
Rfam family: Bacterial small subunit ribosomal RNA
Source: RNAcentral
AACGAACGCUGGCGGCAUGCCUAACACAUGCAAGUCGAACGAGACCUUCGGGUCUAGUGGCGCACGGGUGCGUAACGCGUGGGAACCUGCCCUUAGGUUCGGAAUAACUCCCCGAAAGGGGUGCUAAUACCGGAUAAUGUCUUCGGACCAAAGAUUUAUCGCCUUUGGAUGGGCCCGCGUUGGAUUAGCUAGUUGGUAGGGUAAAAGCCUACCAAGGCGACGAUCCAUAGCUGGUCUGAGAGGAUGAUCAGCCACACUGGGACUGAGACACGGCCCAGACUCCUACGGGAGGCAGCAGUGGGGAAUAUUGGACAAUGGGCGAAAGCCUGAUCCAGCAAUGCCGCGUGAGUGAUGAAGGCCUUAGGGUUGUAAAGCUCUUUUACCCGGGAUGAUAUGACAGUACCGGGAGAAUAAGCUCCGGCUAACUCCGU